AGCGAACGCUGGCGGCAGGCUUAACACUUGCAAGUCGAGCGGGCAUCCUUGUGGUGUCAGCGGCAGACGGGUGAGUAACGCGUGGGAACGUGCCCUUCGUUUCGGAAUAACUCAGGGAAACUUGAGCUAAUACCGGAUACGUGCGAGAGCAGAAAGGUUUAUCUGCCGAAGGAUCGGCCCGCGUCUGAUUAGCUAGUUGGUGAGGUUAUGGCUCACCAAGGCGACGAUCAGUAGCUGGUCUGAGAGGAUGAUCAGCCACACUGGGACUGAGACACGGCCCAGACUCCUACGGGAGGCAGCAGUGGGGAAUAUUGGACAAUGGGGGCAACCCUGAUCCAGCCAUGCCGCGUGAGUGAUGACGGCCUUAGGGUUGUAAAGCUCUUUUCUCCGGGACGAUAAUGACGGUACCGGAGGAAUAAGCCCCGGCUAACUUCGUG
RNAcentral lists this ribosomal RNA (437 nucleotides) under uncultured bacterium. RNAcentral describes it as "partial 16S ribosomal RNA". It matches the Rfam family "Bacterial small subunit ribosomal RNA", at positions 29 to 507 of the family's 1533-position model. The record is from RNAcentral.